AGACUGGAUCGCGCUCUGCUGCACUGCGCUGGGGACGGCGGAGGGCUCUGGGCGUGGGCCCCGCGGCUCGGGGGCGGGUCCCGGCUGGAGGUAGAUGUGAAGCUCUGGCUGCCCGGGGGAGGCGGCCGGGCGGUUGAGACAGUCGCUUGGGAAACCUAGCAGCUGCUCAGGAGCGAGAACAGAGCUCCGGAGCCGCACGCAGCACAAGUCUGGAGCCCCAGGCAGCCGAGGAGCCCACGCCCACGCGCUCCCACUUCCGCUCCGGGACCCCCGGGACCCCUCUUCAGGAACUCGGGCAGAGUCGUCAGCCAGCUCCAGGGAGGUUUGGGCCCGUCAGGCUUGAGUCGAGACCUGCAUCAUUCCUGAAGACAAAAGCAGCUUCCCUUUCCUCCACACUUGAAAAGGUCACCCGCAACCUGUCCCUCCGGGGGACGCCCGGAAAAACAUGGAUACAACUCGGGACUUCCUACUAGAGAACCCUUUUUUUUUUUUUUUUUUUUUUUUUUUUUUUUUUAAUGAGACAGAGUUUUGCUCUUGCCGCCCAGGCGGGAGUGCAAUGGCGCGAUCUCAGCUCACUGCAACCUCUGCCUCCCGGUUCAAGCGAUUCUCCUGCCUCAGCCUCCCGAGUAGCUGGAAUUACAGGUGCACGCCACCACGCCCGGCUAAUUUUUGUAUUUUUAGUAGAGACGGGUUUUCACCAUGUUGGCCAGGCUAGUCUCGAACUCCUGACCUUAAGCGAUCCGCCCGCCUCGGCCUCCCAAAGUGCUGGGAUUACAGGCUUGAGUCACCACACCCUGCCGAGAACUCUUUUUAAAAUGAUCCCAACCUGCUCUCAAUCGUCUUGAAUUAGUACCACACAAAAAAUUUACGAGCUCAAAGCCCACACACCGCCAUCUGCAACAUUUCGAUAUAAUCCAGGAAUUCAGAACUGAAGCCACUUAAACUGAAUUCGCUUAAAUGCAAGGCAGAUAAAAUGACUAAAGCCAUUUUUUAAAGGAUUUUAGGGCGGUAUGGGGGAGGUGCUCCCUGUAAAUGGGCUGAUGGGACAGUUUUAGAUAGCAUUUGUCUUUCCUUUUAGCUGUUAAAAAUUGUAAGUCUAAACAGCUGAGAAUUUAGCAGAGAUCAUGAAAGUUGACCUAUUAGAGAUCCUGGUACUUACUAAUCUGUCUCCUGUUAGGCCAGAAACCACCAGGAAAAAGCCUGUACUCCGAUAACGUCAGGCCAAUUUGUAAAUCAGGAGGGAGGGCACUCCAAAGGAAGCUUGGAAUGCCACUGGAAAAGGAAAGAGGAAGCCUCCUUUGUAAGAUUAGUUUCCCGCCAAAGGAGUCUGAGGAGGGUCUAAGGAGAGCCAGAAUCAGUUCUGCAUGGGACGCCGUUUCCGUGGCGGCAUGAAGAAAAGCUGGGAUUUACGAGGGAUUGGAUGCUGUCUUGAGGAUACAGCAAUUUAGUAAUUAGGUACCUCCAGUAAUAAAGUAGCAACACUAGUAAGAGCAGCAGUUACUCAAAGAGGGGUGAAUAUGGCGUGUCAUAGCUACUGCACGGCUGUGGGAGAAAGAAGUUUCUCAGUUAACUUUGCUGCUGGCUUUUUCUGUAUCUGUCCUCCCAGCACAACUACUUUUUCUCAUUUCAGUCCGAGCUGAUUUUCAUUCUGUUCGUCCUGGCCCAAACUAGGAGUCAUCUUUUACAGCUAGAUAGUCUCAGGGUCGGCCCUUG
This 1713-nucleotide long non-coding RNA is filed under the name Homo sapiens (human). Its description in RNAcentral is "non-protein coding lnc-CSRP2-2:1". Lineage: Eukaryota; Metazoa; Chordata; Mammalia; Primates; Hominidae. The record is from RNAcentral.